GGCGAACGGGUGAGUAACACGUGGGUAAUCUGCCCUCGGCACUGGGAUAGCCCGGGGAAACCCGGAUUAAUACCGGAUAGCCUUUCGAGCCUUCGGGCUCGUCAGAAAAGGUGGCUUCGGCUUCCGGCUGAGGAUGAGCCCGCGGCGGAUUAGCUUGUUGGUGAGGUAAUGGCUCACCAAGGCUCCGAUCUGUAGCUGGUCUGAGAGGACGAUCAGCCACACUGGGACUGAGACACGGCCCAGACUCCUACGGGAGGCAGCAGUAGGGAAUCUUGCGCAAUGGGCGAAAGCCUGACGCAGCGACGCCGCGUGCGGGAAGAAGGCCUUCGGGUUGUAAACCGCUUUCAGGAGGGACGAAGCCACUCGGGUUAAUAGCCCAGAGGGUGACGGUACCUCCAGAAGAAGCCCCGGCUAACUACGUGCCAGCAGCCGCGGUAAUACGUAGGGGGCAAGCGUUGUCCGGAUUUAUUGGGCGUAAAGAGCGUGUAGGCGGCCAGAUAGGUCAGCUGUGAAAACUCGAGGCUCAACCUCGAGAUGUCGGCUGAAACCAUCUGGCUAGAGUCCGGAAGAGGAGAAUGGAAUUCCCGGUGUAGCGGUGAAAUGCGCAGAUAUCGGGAAGAACACCCGUGGCGAAGGCGGUUCUCUGGGACGGUACUGACGCUGAGACGCGAAAGCGUGGGGAGCGAACAGGAUUAGAUACCCUGGUAGUCC
RNAcentral lists this ribosomal RNA (711 nucleotides) under uncultured bacterium. RNAcentral's name for it is "bacterial SSU rRNA". It matches the Rfam family "Bacterial small subunit ribosomal RNA", at positions 97 to 796 of the family's 1533-position model. The record is from RNAcentral.